CGUGUAGGCGGUCCGCUAAGUCUGAUGUGAAAGCCCGGGGCUCACCCCCGGAAGGGCAUUGGAUACUGGUGGACUUGAGUCCCGGAGAGGAGGGUGGAAUUCCUGGUGUAGCGGUGAAAUGCGUAGAUAUCAGGAGGAACACCGGUGGCGAAGGCGGCCCUCUGGACGGUGACUGACGCUGAGACGCGAAAGCGUGGGGAAGCAAACA
This 208-nucleotide ribosomal RNA is filed under the name uncultured bacterium. Its description in RNAcentral is "partial 16S ribosomal RNA". It matches the Rfam family "Bacterial small subunit ribosomal RNA", at positions 568 to 774 of the family's 1533-position model. The record is from RNAcentral.